Molecule: ribosomal RNA, 255 nt
Filed under: uncultured bacterium
Lineage: Bacteria
Description: partial 16S ribosomal RNA
Rfam family: Bacterial small subunit ribosomal RNA
Source: RNAcentral
UACGUAGGGCGCAAGCGUUAUCCGGAAUUAUUGGGCGUAAAGAGCUCGUAGGCGGUUUGUCGCGUCUGCCGUGAAAGUCCGGGGCUCAACUCCGGAUCUGCGGUGGGUACGGGCAGACUAGAGUGAUGUAGGGGAGACUGGAAUUCCUGGUGUAGCGGUGAAAUGCGCAGAUAUCGGGGAAGAACACCCGUGGCGAAGGCGGCUCUCUGGGACGGUACUGACGCUGAGACGCGAAAGCGUGGGGGAGCGAACAGG